RNAcentral lists this ribosomal RNA (468 nucleotides) under uncultured bacterium. Its description in RNAcentral is "partial 16S ribosomal RNA". It matches the Rfam family "Bacterial small subunit ribosomal RNA", at positions 28 to 507 of the family's 1533-position model. The record is from RNAcentral.
GAUGAACGCUGGCGGCGUGCUUAAUACAUGCAAGUCGAACGGAAAGGCCCUGCUCUUGCGGGGUGCUCGUGUGGCGCACGGGUGAGUAUCACGCGAGUAACCUGUCCUUGUCUUUGGGAUAUAUCUUGGAAACUGGGGCUCAUACAGGAUAGGAGCUCCUGCUGCACGGUGGUGGUUGGAAAGUUUCGGCGGUUCGGGCUGGACUCGCGGCUUAUCAGCUUGAUAGUGAAGUAGUGGCUUACCAAGGCUAUGACGGGUAGGCGGCCUGAGAGGGUGACCGGCCACAAGGGGACUGAGGUACGGAGCAGUAGGGUACGGGAAGCAACGGGGGAGAGUAUGGCGCAAUAACGCGGAGUGAGAGACGACGACCCCGCGAGCGUAAAAACGGGCUUCUAGGGAAAAACCGCUGUCGACGGUAACGAGGCCGGAGUGACGGUAAUUAAUAAGAAAGCAACGGCUAACUACGUG